UCAAUAAACUCUGUAUCAGCCCUC
RNAcentral lists this non-coding RNA (24 nucleotides) under Cricetulus griseus (Chinese hamster). Lineage: Eukaryota; Metazoa; Chordata; Mammalia; Rodentia; Cricetidae. The record is from RNAcentral.